AAGGUUUUAGCUUAAUUAAAGUGUCUGGGUUGCAUUCAGAAGAUGUAAGAUAAAGUCUUACAUAUCUUA
This 69-nucleotide transfer RNA is filed under the name Speleomantes italicus (Italian cave salamander). RNAcentral describes it as "tRNA-Ala". It matches the Rfam family "tRNA". From Rfam's summary of the family: Transfer RNA (tRNA) molecules are approximately 80 nucleotides in length. Their secondary structure includes four short double-helical elements and three loops (D, anti-codon, and T loops). Further hydrogen bonds mediate the characteristic L-shaped molecular structure. tRNAs have two regions of fundamental functional importance: the anti-codon, which is responsible for specific mRNA codon recognition, and the 3' end, to which the tRNAs corresponding amino acid is attached (by aminoacyl-tRNA synthetases). tRNAs cope with the degeneracy of the genetic code in two manners: having more than one tRNA (with a specific anti-codon) for a particular amino acid; and 'wobble' base-pairing, i.e. permitting non-standard base-pairing at the 3rd anti-codon position. The record is from RNAcentral. Lineage: Eukaryota; Metazoa; Chordata; Amphibia; Caudata; Plethodontidae.